Non-coding RNA from Salvelinus sp. IW2-2015, 896 nucleotides. The record is from RefSeq and is a predicted model, not a curated record. Lineage: Eukaryota; Metazoa; Chordata; Actinopteri; Salmoniformes; Salmonidae.
GAUGCUAAAUGUGUUUAUGUUAAUUAUUGGUCAAUUACUGUGAAACUUUUGCAUGACAUUAACCACCUGACAACAUUUCAUGACUGCCACGGUCCUAGGUGUAACGUUAUCCAAUUGAUGUGAGAAAUAUCCAAAUGUCUGUGUUUGUAGCCAGCACUUUCAGCCAGAAGAUUUCAAACGGAACGGAAGUCUCAACUGAUGGGAUUGCCAUGUCAUCGAACGUUGAAAAGGGACGCUAUUCUAUUGAUUUCCCUGUUCACCUCAAAGAGGAAGCUAUCCGAUCAGCCAAUAUCGGCGCAGCAGAAAAUUACCUAGCUAACUAGCUACAGUAGCUAUAGCGAAGUAACUACUGCGGAGGCUAAUGUGACUGUGUUCUAUUAAGAGUCCGAUCCCAUCAACAUCUGCAGAGGCAUCAACAUCAAGCUCAGCACAAGGAACUAGUUAAUCCUGCUGCUAAUGACCUUGACACCAGCUUUAGUAGUACAGAGCCUGUAGACCCAUUGGAUGAAAGCUUUCAGCCUCGAAUAAACUCAAGCACAACAUCAUCUGACUUCGAAACAUGCAAGGACAGCCAAAGGAGACUUGCAGUACAUACAAAUCUUCUGCAAGAGGUCGAAGCAGUGAGUGGUGAAGAACCGCCACAGCGCCUGCUAAACAUGCUACCAUUACCCAACAAAAGAAGAGGUUGACUAGCUGAAAACCAUUAUGGAACCUGCCUGAAACAUUCAACCUACACAACAUCCAUAUUAAGUUAGACUGAUGUUGUAGUACAAUAUAGAAUGCCUAGUAUGCUCACAAUUGCAUUGUGGUAUAGAUAUUGUUAGCUGUUGUACAUAUGUAUACAAGGGUGUUUUAUAUGAUCUCUUUUACAUGUGUACUGACAAGUAACUAAACGA